GAUGAACGCUGGCGGCGUGCCUAAUACAUGCAAGUCGAGCGAACAGACGAGGAGCUUGCUCCUCUGACGUUAGCGGCGGACGGGUGAGUAACACGUGGAUAACCUACCUAUAAGACUGGGAUAACUUCGGGAAACCGGAGCUAAUACCGGAUAAUAUAUUGAACCGCAUGGUUCAAUAGUGAAAGACGGUUUUGCUGUCACUUAUAGAUGGAUCCGCGCCGCAUUAGCUAGUUGGUAAGGUAACGGCUUACCAAGGCAACGAUGCGUAGCCGACCUGAGAGGGUGAUCGGCCACACUGGAACUGAGACACGGUCCAGACUCCUACGGGAGGCAGCAGUAGGGAAUCUUCCGCAAUGGGCGAAAGCCUGACGGAGCAACGCCGCGUGAGUAAUGAAGGUCUUCGGAUCGUAAAACUCUGUUAUUAGGGAAGAACAAAUGUGUAAGUAACUAUGCACGUCUUGACGGUACCUAAUCAGAAAGCCACGGCUAACUACGU
This 496-nucleotide ribosomal RNA is filed under the name uncultured bacterium. RNAcentral's name for it is "partial 16S ribosomal RNA". It matches the Rfam family "Bacterial small subunit ribosomal RNA", at positions 28 to 506 of the family's 1533-position model. The record is from RNAcentral.